Molecule: ribosomal RNA, 119 nt
Organism: Lepisosteus oculatus (spotted gar)
Lineage: Eukaryota; Metazoa; Chordata; Actinopteri; Semionotiformes; Lepisosteidae
Source: Ensembl
GCCAGCAGCCAUAUCACUCUGCAACUCACAACUAGCAACCCACUGAAGCUAAGCAGGUGUGAGCCUGGUCAGUACCUGAAUGGGAGACCUCCUGGGAAAAACUAAGGUUGCUGCUGGAA